GCGUGAGCGACAUGCCCGUUGCCCGGGGACAACCGGUGGAAACGCCGACUAAUCCCCGAUGGGAUACGAUGCUUCAUGGCAUUGUAUUGAAAGUUACGGCGGCGACGGAUUGGCUCGCGUCCGAUUAGCUUGUUGGCGGGGUAACGGCCCACCAAGGCUACGAUCGGUAGGGGUUCUGAGAGGAAGGCCCCCCACAAUGGGACUGAGACACGGCCCAUACUCCUACGGGAGGCAGCAGUGAGGAAUAUUGGUCAAUGGGCGGAAGCCUGAACCAGCCAUGCCGCGUGCGGGAAGGAGGCCCUAUGGGCUGUGAACCGCUCUUGCCUGGGGGCAAUAAGGGCGUCGCGCACGUCCGAUGAGAGUACCAGGCGAAUAAGCAUCGGCUAACUCCGUGCCAGCAGCCGCGGUAAUACGGGGGAUGCGAGCGUUAUCCGGAUUCAUUGGGUUUAAAGGGUGCGUAGGCUGUGCGUCAAGUCGGGGGUGAAAUUCCGGUGCUCAACACCGGGGCUGCCCUUGAUACUGUCGCGCUGGAGUGCGGAUGCCGCCGGAGGAAUGAGUGGUGUAGCGG
This 568-nucleotide ribosomal RNA is filed under the name uncultured bacterium. RNAcentral describes it as "bacterial SSU rRNA". It matches the Rfam family "Bacterial small subunit ribosomal RNA", at positions 115 to 681 of the family's 1533-position model. The record is from RNAcentral.